UGGGCAUGGACAGAGCCCCCCUGAGGGCGGUGCUGCAGCACGGCGGGCCCGCCUGCACCGAGGCCUUCCUGCAGCACGUGGGCAGGGCCGGCAGGGACGGCAAACCGGCGUGGGGACAUCUGAUACUGCACAAAGGGGGCGAGGAUUUUCUGGAAUUGCGGCGUCACAUCCAUGAAAAUUCGGUGGAUUAUUGGGCGGUCAAGGCUUUGGUGCAAAGAGUUUUUGUGCCUUGUAAAUGUCCAGAAAUUCAGGAAAAUUCCCAGGAAAUCCCAGCCAGGAGGUGCCGAGGCCACGAGCGCGCCCUCCCCGUGCAGGAGCUGGAGCAGAGCCUGGACCUGAGGCAGGAGGG
This is a long non-coding RNA of Zonotrichia leucophrys gambelii, 349 nucleotides long. RefSeq lists it as uncharacterized. The record is from RefSeq and is a predicted model, not a curated record. The transcript has 3 exons. NCBI's taxonomy places the organism in Eukaryota, Metazoa, Chordata, Aves, Passeriformes, Passerellidae.